GUGAGGUAAUGGCUCACCAAGGCAUCGACGGGUAGCUGGUCUGAGAGGACGAUCAGCCACACUGGGACUGAGACACGGCCCAGACUCCUACGGGAGGCAGCAGUAGGGAAUCUUGCGCAAUGGGCGAAAGCCUGACGCAGCAACGCCGCGUGGGGGAUGAAGGCCUUCGGGUCGUAAACCCCUUUCAGCAGGGACGAAAAUGACGGUACCUGCAGAAGAAGGUCCGGCCAACUACGUGCCAGCAGCCGCGGUAAUACGUAGGGACCAAGCGUUGUCCGGAAUUAUUGGGCGUAAAGAGCUCGUAGGCGGUUCGGUAAGUCGGGUGUGAAAAUCCAGGGCUCAACCCUGGGACGCCACCCGAUACUGCUGUGACUAGAGUCCGGUAGAGGAGCGUGGAAUUCCUGGUGUAGCGGUGAAAUGCGCAGAUAUCAGGAGGAACACCAGCGGCGAAGGCGGCGCUCUGGGCCGGUACUGACGCUGAGGAGCGAAAGCAUGGGGAGCAAACAGGAUUAGAUACCCUGGUAGUCCAUGCCGUAAACGUUGGGCACUAGGUAUGGGGUCUUAUCAACGGAUUCCGUGCCGUAGCUAACGCAUUAAGUG
This 600-nucleotide ribosomal RNA is filed under the name uncultured Actinobacteridae bacterium. RNAcentral's name for it is "bacterial SSU rRNA". It matches the Rfam family "Bacterial small subunit ribosomal RNA", at positions 252 to 866 of the family's 1533-position model. The record is from RNAcentral. Lineage: Bacteria; Bacillati; Actinomycetota; Actinomycetes.